RNAcentral lists this long non-coding RNA (725 nucleotides) under Zostera marina. RNAcentral describes it as "long non-coding RNA (ZMAR_LNC001754)". The record is from RNAcentral. Lineage: Eukaryota; Viridiplantae; Streptophyta; Magnoliopsida; Alismatales; Zosteraceae.
CCAAAUUCCAUCCUUUCCAUUCCAUAACCGCCGACAUCCUCCCAACACAUCCGUUCAUCAUCGCAGCCAAUCGUCGUCGCCUCCUGUCCGUCGUGUUCACCGGCCAUCUUCUCCGUUCGUCGCCGGCCAGACUAUAUUCUGACCAGAAACUCUGUUUUUGUUCAUUCCAGAAAAUAAACUAUAUUGAAUAGACCGGCCAGAUCAGUCAUCUCUGUUUGGGUUAUUCCGGCCAGAAAUUAGCCCUUCAUCAUCACCGUCUACGAUACCGGAUUUGAUCCCGUAUCACAAGCAUUGGUCGCACGAUCGACUACAGAAACCGAAUACAGGAGCGUAGCGGAUGCAGUUGCGGAACUGGAAUGGAUUAAGCAAUUACUGUCUGAAUUGUGACCAAAUUAAUUUCAUCAGAGUUUCAGCAGAAUUUCAUUAGUUUUUUUUAAUUUAGUGCAGAUUUGAUGAAAUCAGAGUUUGAGCAUGUGCAGAAAGGAGGGGGAGGGAUCGAAUACACAAAUUAAAAAAGAAAUCGACAAUUAAAAUCUAUCUUUACCUUUUCUGACAAAUUUCAGUGACAUGAUUGGUAGAUAGCUCGGUAAAUAAAUAAGUAGGAUGUGUAAAGUAGUAGACUUGUGAUUUGCUAUUAAGGAUUUUACUAAUCAAUGUGCGGCACGGUGUGCAUAUACGCUUCUGAUGUGCACUCGAAAUGAGAAAUCUUCAAAAUUAUAUUCAUG